RNAcentral lists this unclassified non-coding RNA (245 nucleotides) under Chytridiomycota sp. RNAcentral describes it as "partial contains small subunit ribosomal RNA, internal transcribed spacer 1, and 5.8S ribosomal RNA". The stretch from base 1 to 47 matches the Rfam family "Eukaryotic small subunit ribosomal RNA", at positions 1785 to 1831 of the family's 1831-position model. Lineage: Eukaryota; Fungi; Chytridiomycota. The record is from RNAcentral.
AAAGUCGUAACAAGGUAACCGUAGGUGAACCUGCGGUUGGAUCAUUACUGAUUUUGCCUAGGUUGGUCGAGUCUCUAGGGACUCCCAACCGAAGCGAUAUACCACUUGUGCACUGUAUUGUCUUUUGGGUCUGGAAGUUGUCUGCUUGCGGAUAGCGACCUGGCCCAGUCGUAUAAACCAUUUAAUCUUUUGUCUGAAAUAUCUAGUAAUAGAAACAACUUUUGACAACGGAUCUCUUGGCUCUC